UCUGGUGUCAGCCGCCGCGGUAAAACCAGCACCUCGAGUGGUCAGGAGGUUUAUUGGGCCUAAAGCAUCCGUAGCCGGUUGUUUAAGUUUUCGGUUAAAUCUAUGCGCUUAACGUAUAGGCUGCCGAAAAUACUGGACAGCUAGGGAGUGGGAGAGGUACACGGUACUCAAUAGGAAGGGGUAAAAUCCUUUGAUCUGUUGAUGACCACCUGUGGCGGAGGCGGUGUACCAGAACACGUUCGACGGUGAGGGAUGAAAGCUGGGGGAGCAAACCGGAUUAGAUACCCGGGUAGUCCCAGCUGUAAACGAUGCAAACUCGGUGAUGCAUUGGCUUGUGGCCAAUGCAGUGCCGCAGGGAAGCCGUUAAGUUUGCCGCCUGGGAAGUACGUACGCAAGUAUGAAACUUAAAG
RNAcentral lists this ribosomal RNA (410 nucleotides) under uncultured Nitrososphaerota archaeon. Its description in RNAcentral is "bacterial SSU rRNA". It matches the Rfam family "Archaeal small subunit ribosomal RNA", at positions 451 to 861 of the family's 1478-position model. Lineage: Archaea; Thermoproteati; Nitrososphaerota. The record is from RNAcentral.